UUUUACCCCUUUCUUCAUUUCUCUCCGGAAGACCAAAACCCAGGUUCCCUCUCUCGUUCUAUAUUUUUCCUGUUGAAUCUUCCAGAACCAACCUCUAUGAAACACUCUUGAUGAAUUAUCAAACCCAACAACCUUAAAGAUUAACAUAUCUCCUCAACUCCAAACCAGAAAAACAAUCGAACAACGUGAAAAGAAGCUAAUUCAGAUCUGUGCUAGGAGGACGAAGAUGGAGACGACGAUCAUGAUGGCAAGUGGCUGUCAGGUGAACAUCGUGGUGGUGGUGGUUCGUGUGAGAACCCGCAGGCAGAAGCAGAUUCGCAAAACAAAUUGUAGAAAAUGGUGAAAAAGGGUAACGAAGAACAGUGAAUUCAAUGGUGAAAAAUCUCUCUCACCUUUAUUUGUUGUUGAUGGUGAGGAAGAAACAAGAUUGGUUUGUGUUAAUUUGAACCAAUUUUUAGGUUUUUGGAAUUUUUUAGAAGAAGAAGAUGAUAAAAAGAUGACAAAGACGUGAGGAGAAAGAAGAAGAGGGAAGAUGAUCUUGCUAAUUAAUUGUUGAUUUGCUAAAAAUUGGAUAUUGUUUUAUUGGAGUAUUUGUGUUGAAUGAGAAGAAUUUGAUUUUACUGUGAGAAGUAAGAAGAAGAAGCAGCAACCUUUGAAUUUAAGGGUUCAGAUCUGUUUUCAACUUCCUUCCAUUUUUUCGGCAAUUAAU
This 709-nucleotide long non-coding RNA is filed under the name Medicago truncatula (barrel medic). RNAcentral describes it as "lncRNA gene44619". The record is from RNAcentral. Lineage: Eukaryota; Viridiplantae; Streptophyta; Magnoliopsida; Fabales; Fabaceae.